UACGUAGGGUCCGAGCGUUGUCCGGAGUUACUGGGCGUAAAGCGCGCGCAGGCGGCGGUGCUGGCCCGGCGUGAAAGCCCCCGGCUCAACCGGGGAGAGUCGUCGGGGACCGCACCGCUUGAGGGCGGUAGGGGCUGGUGGAAUGCCUGGUGUAGUGGUGAAAUGCGUAGAGAUCAGGCAGAACACCUGGGGCGAAGGCGGCCAGCUGGGCCGUCCCUGACGCUGAGGCGCGAAAGCCAGGGGAGCGAACGGG
Molecule: ribosomal RNA, 253 nt
Filed under: uncultured bacterium
Lineage: Bacteria
Description: partial 16S ribosomal RNA
Rfam family: Bacterial small subunit ribosomal RNA
Source: RNAcentral